GAUGAAGAACGUAGCGAAAUGCGAUACGUAGUGUGAAUUGCAGAAUCCAGUGAAUCAUCGAAUCUUUGAACGCACAUUGCGCCCGCCAGCAUUCUGGCGGGCAUGCCUGUUCGAGCGUCAUUUCAACCCUCGACCUCCCCUUGGGGAGGUCGGCGUUGGGGACCGGCAGCACACCGCCGGCCCUGAAAUGGAGUGGCGGCCCGUCCGCGGCGACCUCUGCGCAGUAAUACAGCUCGCACCGGGACCCCGACGCGGCCACGCCGUAAAACACCCAACUUCUGAACGUUGACCUCGAAUCAGGUAGGACUACCCGCUGAACUUAAGCAUAUCAAUAAGCGGAGGA
RNAcentral lists this unclassified non-coding RNA (343 nucleotides) under soil metagenome. Its description in RNAcentral is "partial contains 5.8S ribosomal RNA, internal transcribed spacer 2, and large subunit ribosomal RNA". The stretch from base 1 to 120 matches the Rfam family "5.8S ribosomal RNA", at positions 35 to 154 of the family's 154-position model. The record is from RNAcentral.